GACGACGCUGGCGGCGUGCUUAACACAUGCAAGUCGAACGAGAAUCUACGGAUCGAGGAUUCGUCCAAGUGAAGUAGAGGACAGUGGCGGACGGGUGAGUAACGCGUGAGGAACCUGCCUUUCAGAGGGGGACAACAGUUGGAAACGACUGCUAAUACCGCAUGACACAUUGGGGUCGCAUGGCCCUGAUGUCAAAGAUUUAUCGCUGAAAGAUGGCCUCGCGUCUGAUUAGCUAGUUGGUGAGGUUAAACGGGCCCACCAAGGCGACGAUCAGUAGCCGGACUGAGAGGUUGACCGGCCACAUUGGGACUGAGAUACGGCCCAGACUCCUACGGGAGGCAGCAGUGGGGAAUAUUGGGCAAUGGGCGCAAGCCUGACCCAGCAACGCCGCGUGAAGGAAGAAGGCUUUCGGGUUGUAAACUUCUUUUGUCAGGGACGAGUAGAAGACGGUACCUGACGAAUAAGCCACGGCUAACUACGUG
RNAcentral lists this ribosomal RNA (482 nucleotides) under uncultured bacterium. RNAcentral describes it as "bacterial SSU rRNA". It matches the Rfam family "Bacterial small subunit ribosomal RNA", at positions 33 to 507 of the family's 1533-position model. The record is from RNAcentral.